Molecule: non-coding RNA, 504 nt
Organism: Lupinus albus (white lupine)
Lineage: Eukaryota; Viridiplantae; Streptophyta; Magnoliopsida; Fabales; Fabaceae
Source: the annotation of a GenBank genome assembly
CCAAAGGAAAGGAAAUUAGGUUUUACGAUUUAGGAUUUGGGGAGAUUGGAAAAAAUGGAAGAGAGGGUCUGCUGCUUGAAGAUGGCGGCCAUGGCUUGGUUGGAGAAGCGUCGCCAGUGGCGGGAGAUGAAGCACGUCCUCGCCUGGACGUGACUGGGCCGAGGAUAACGACGUCUUCCAUGGCUCCAACGGCGAAGACAGGGGGUAUGGUGGUUUAUGGGUUCCGGGUAUGUCUCCAGCAAAGCCUAAGGCUUCUUUCAACAGUGGGUUUUCGACCAAGGGAUUGAAUGUGGUCUAUAUUUAAGCCAAAAGAGGUGGUAUAUGUGCGGAAUGUGGGGGGAAACUUCUUACUAACAUAAUAGGGUGUAGUUAAUGGAGAAAAUCCGUUAUCUCCUUUAGUGACUGGAUAUGUUUUUUUUUAUGGCCAAAAGAUGCACGGCUUAGCUAUUGUAAUUUUAUCGCUUGAAUUUGGCAUAAUGCUUAUCGUGUGAAUUAAUGGAUUGA